RNAcentral lists this ribosomal RNA (484 nucleotides) under uncultured bacterium. RNAcentral's name for it is "partial 16S ribosomal RNA". It matches the Rfam family "Bacterial small subunit ribosomal RNA", at positions 30 to 507 of the family's 1533-position model. The record is from RNAcentral.
AUUGAACGCUGGCGGCAUGCCUAACACAUGCAAGUCGAGCGGAUGAAGGGAGCUUGCUCCUGGAUUCAGCGGCGGACGGGUGAGUAAUGCCUAGGAAUCUGCCUGGUAGUGGGGGAUAACGUCCGGAAACGGGCGCUAAUACCGCAUACGUCCUGAGGUGGAAAGUGGGGGUUCUUCGGACCUCACGCUAUCAGAUGAGCCUAGGUCGGAUUAGCUAGUUGGUGGGGUAAAGGCCUACCAAGGCGACGAUCCGUAACUGGUCUGAGAGGAUGAUCAGUCACACUGGACCUGAGACACGGUCCAGACUCCUACGGGAGGCAGCAGUGGGGAAUAUUGGACAAUGGGCGAAAGCCUGAUCCAGCCAUGCCGCGUGUGUGAAGAAGGUCUUCGGAUUGUAAAGCACUUUAAGUUGGGAGGAAGGGCAGUAAGUUAAUACCUUGCUGUUUUGACGUUACCAAAAGAAUAAGCACCGGCUAACUUCGUG